RNAcentral lists this ribosomal RNA (496 nucleotides) under uncultured bacterium. RNAcentral's name for it is "partial 16S ribosomal RNA". It matches the Rfam family "Bacterial small subunit ribosomal RNA", at positions 28 to 506 of the family's 1533-position model. The record is from RNAcentral.
GACGAACGCUGGCGGCGUGCCUAAUACAUGCAAGUAGAACGCUGAAGAGAGGAGCUUGCUCUUCUUGGAUGAGUUGCGAACGGGUGAGUAACGCGUAGGUAACCUGCCUUGUAGCGGGGGAUAACUAUUGGAAACGAUAGCUAAUACCGCAUAACAAUGGAUGACACAUGUCAUUUAUUUGAAAGGGGCAAUUGCUCCACUACAAGAUGGACCUGCGUUGUAUUAGCUAGUAGGUGAGGUAAUGGCUCACCUAGGCGACGAUACAUAGCCGACCUGAGAGGGUGAUCGGCCACACUGGGACUGAGACACGGCCCAGACUCCUACGGGAGGCAGCAGUAGGGAAUCUUCGGCAAAGGGGGCAACCCUGACCGAGCAACGCCGCGUGAGUGAAGAAGGUUUUCGGAUCGUAAAGCUCUGUUGUAAGUCAAGAACGGGUGUGAGAGUGGAAAGUUCACACUGGGACGGUAGCUUACCAGAAAGGGACGGCUAACUACGU